This 635-nucleotide ribosomal RNA is filed under the name Ichthyothere mollis. RNAcentral describes it as "eukaryotic LSU rRNA". The record is from RNAcentral. Lineage: Eukaryota; Viridiplantae; Streptophyta; Magnoliopsida; Asterales; Asteraceae.
UCGAAUCCUGUAGAAUGACCAGUGAACUAGUACUAAUAAGAUGGAUUGGUGAGGAUUGAAGCCUAUGUUUUGACCCUUGUUAAUCCUUGUUGACUUGUAUUCAUGGGACUUUUUGAGGCUUCAUGGACAUAAAGUUGGCACAACAACAACCCCCGGCACGACAUGUGCCAAGGAAAACUAAACAUAAGAGCGCCCAUGCCAUGUUGCCCCGUUUUUGGUGUGCUCAUUGUGUGUGGCUUCUUUGUAAUCUAAAAUGACUCUCGGCAACGGAUAUCUCGGCUCACGCAUCGAUGAAGAACGUAGCAAAAUGCGAUACUUGAUGUGAAUUGCAGAAUCCCGUGAACCAUCGAGUUUUUGAACGCAAGUUGCGCCCAAAGCCAUCUGGUUGAGGGCACGUCUGCCUGGGCGUCACGCAUCACGUCGCCCCACAAAGCAWCCCUUAUUGGGACAUGUUAGAAGGGGCGGAUAUUGGUCUCCCAUGCAUGUGGUGUGGUUGGCCUAAAUAGGAGCMUACUCAAGAAGGACGCACGACUAGUGGUGGUUGAUAAGACAGUYGUCUGUGUCAUGCGUUCUGAUCAUUGAGGAAAACUCAUAAGAUACCUCAUCACAUCAUCUUUAGAUGAUGAUUUGAUCGC